AAAUAAGAAGCAAAGCCUUUGCAAUUAGUUUCGACCUAGUCCCUGAUGUUUACCCCAUCCUUAUUUU
RNAcentral lists this transfer RNA (67 nucleotides) under Elateroidea sp. 3 KM-2017. Its description in RNAcentral is "tRNA-Arg". Lineage: Eukaryota; Metazoa; Arthropoda; Insecta; Coleoptera. The record is from RNAcentral.